RNAcentral lists this ribosomal RNA (253 nucleotides) under uncultured bacterium. Its description in RNAcentral is "partial 16S ribosomal RNA". It matches the Rfam family "Bacterial small subunit ribosomal RNA", at positions 524 to 776 of the family's 1533-position model. The record is from RNAcentral.
UACGUAGGGUGCGAGCGUUAAUCGGAAUUACUGGGCGUAAAGCGUGCGCAGGCGGUUUUGUAAGUCUGACGUGAAAUCCCCGGGCUUAACCUGGGAAUUGCGUUGGAGACUGCAAGGCUGGAGUCUGGCAGAGGGGGGUAGAAUUCCACGUGUAGCAGUGAAAUGCGUAGAGAUGUGGAGGAACACCGAUGGCGAAGGCAGCCCCCUGGACCUGUACUGACGCUCAUGCACGAAAGCGUGGGGAGCAAACAGG